UCAAACUUGGUCAUUUAGAGGAAGUAAAAGUCGUAACAAGGUUUCCGUAGGUGAACCUGCGGAAGGAUCAUUACAAUGACAAACAGAGGUCUCUCGCGGCCUCUCGCUAAUCCAGCCCCCCGGGGUGAAGAUGGCGUCAACCUCUUGUGAACCUUCUACCUUUGCUUCGGCAGCAGCCGCGUUUUGGCUUAACGGCCGGCACGCGGUUGUAAGGCUGUCAGAAGCCCACAACACAAAAACUAUUUAAACAAGAAAUCAUUGUGGUCUGACAUUACUAUGAAUUUUAUAAUCAUAUUAAAACUUUCAGCAACGGAUCUCUUGGUUCUCGCAUCGAUGAAGAACGCAGC
Molecule: unclassified non-coding RNA, 347 nt
Filed under: uncultured fungus
Lineage: Eukaryota; Fungi
Description: partial contains small subunit ribosomal RNA, internal transcribed spacer 1, and 5.8S ribosomal RNA
Rfam family: Eukaryotic small subunit ribosomal RNA (bases 1-73)
Source: RNAcentral